UGGGGAAUAUUGGACAAUGGGCGCAAGCCUGAUCCAGCCAUGCCGCGUGAGUGAUGAAGGCCCUAGGGUUGUAAAGCUCUUUCACCGGUGAAGAUAAUGACGGUAACCGGAGAAGAAGCUCCGGCUAACUUCGUGCCAGCAGCCGCGGUAAUACGAAGGGGGCUAGCGUUGUUCGGAUUUACUGGGCGUAAAGCGCACGUAGGCGGACUUUUAAGUCAGGGGUGAAAUCCCGGGGCUCAACCCCGGAACUGCCUUUGAUACUGGAAGUCUUGAGGAGGGAAGAGGUGAGUGGAAUUCCGAGUGUAGAGGUGAAAUUCGUAGAUAUUCGGAGGAACACCAGUGGCGAAGGCGGCUCACUGGACCAAUACUGACGCUGAGGUGCGAAAGCGUGGGGAGCAAACAGG
Molecule: ribosomal RNA, 404 nt
Filed under: Actinomycetes bacterium
Lineage: Bacteria; Bacillati; Actinomycetota; Actinomycetes
Description: Actinobacteria bacterium partial 16S ribosomal RNA
Rfam family: Bacterial small subunit ribosomal RNA
Source: RNAcentral